RNAcentral lists this ribosomal RNA (369 nucleotides) under Salmonella enterica subsp. enterica. RNAcentral's name for it is "partial 16S ribosomal RNA". It matches the Rfam family "Bacterial small subunit ribosomal RNA", at positions 734 to 1102 of the family's 1533-position model. RNAcentral also lists the same sequence under 2 other names. Lineage: Bacteria; Pseudomonadati; Pseudomonadota; Gammaproteobacteria; Enterobacterales; Enterobacteriaceae. The record is from RNAcentral.
CAAAGACUGACGCUCAGGUGCGAAAGCGUGGGGAGCAAACAGGAUUAGAUACCCUGGUAGUCCACGCCGUAAACGAUGUCUACUUGGAGGUUGUGCCCUUGAGGCGUGGCUUCCGGAGCUAACGCGUUAAGUAGACCGCCUGGGGAGUACGGCCGCAAGGUUAAAACUCAAAUGAAUUGACGGGGGCCCGCACAAGCGGUGGAGCAUGUGGUUUAAUUCGAUGCAACGCGAAGAACCUUACCUGGUCUUGACAUCCACAGAACUUUCCAGAGAUGGAUUGGUGCCUUCGGGAACUGUGAGACAGGUGCUGCAUGGCUGUCGUCAGCUCGUGUUGUGAAAUGUUGGGUUAAGUCCCGCAACGAGCGCAAC